GACAAUGGGGGCAACCCUGAUCCAGCCAUGCCGCGUGCAGGAAGACUGCCCUAUGGGUUGUAAACUGCUUUUAUAGGGGAAGAACCCCCUCCACGUGUGGAGGGCUGACGGUACCCUACGAAUAAGGAUCGGCUAACUCCGUGCCAGCAGCCGCGGUAAUACGGAGGAUCCAAGCGUUAUCCGGAAUCAUUGGGUUUAAAGGGUCCGUAGGCGGGCAGUUAAGUCAGUGGCGAAAGUCCUCCGCUCAACGGGGGAACUGCCAUUGAUACUGAUUGCCUUGAGUCACUGUGAAGUGGUUGGAAUGAGUAGUGUAGCGGUGAAAUGCAUAGAUAUUACUCAGAACACCUAUUGCGAAGGCAGAUCACUAACAGUGCACUGACGCUGAUGGACGAAAGCGUAGGUAGCGAACAGGAUUAGAUACCCUGGUAGUCUACGCCGUAAACGAUGGUCACUAGCUGUCCGGCACAAUUGAGUGCUGGGUGGUUAAGCGAAAGUGAUAAGUGACCCACCUGGGGAGUACGUUCGCAAGAAUGAAACUCAAAGGAAUUGACGGGGGCCCGCACAAGCGGUGGAGCAUGUGGUUUAAUUCGAUGAUACGCGAGGAACCUUACC
This 612-nucleotide ribosomal RNA is filed under the name uncultured Bacteroidota bacterium. RNAcentral describes it as "bacterial SSU rRNA". It matches the Rfam family "Bacterial small subunit ribosomal RNA", at positions 367 to 975 of the family's 1533-position model. The record is from RNAcentral. Lineage: Bacteria; Pseudomonadati; Bacteroidota.